Molecule: ribosomal RNA, 509 nt
Filed under: uncultured bacterium
Lineage: Bacteria
Description: bacterial SSU rRNA
Rfam family: Bacterial small subunit ribosomal RNA
Source: RNAcentral
GACGAACGCUGGCGGCGUGGAUUAGGCAUGCAAGUCGGACGGUAGGGCUUUAUCGUAAGAUAGAGUUUGAGAGUGGCGAACGGGUGAGUAACACGUAGGAAUCUACCCUUAAGACGGGGACAACCCAGGGAAACUUGGGCUAAUACCGGAUGAGAGUGCGAGAGAUUGCAUUUAAAAGGAUGGCGAAAGUUGUCGCUUAGGGAUGAGCCUGCGGUCUAUUAGUUAGUUGGUGAGGUAAGAGCUCACCAAGGCGAUGAUAGAUAGGCGGCCUUAACGGGUGGUCGCCCACACGUGGGAUUGAGAUACGGCCCAGACUCCUACGGGAGCAGCAGUCGAGAAUAGUCUACAAUGGCCGGAAGGCUGAUAGUGCGACGCCGCGUGAACGAGGGACCCCGUUCGGGGUGUAAAGUUCUUUUCUAUACGAGCAGUGCUAUAUAUAUGGAUAGUAUAUAUAGAGGGAUAGUAGUAUAGGAAUAAGCAACGGCUAACUCCGUGCCAGCAGCCGUACG